RNAcentral lists this ribosomal RNA (306 nucleotides) under uncultured bacterium. RNAcentral describes it as "bacterial SSU rRNA". It matches the Rfam family "Bacterial small subunit ribosomal RNA", at positions 28 to 346 of the family's 1533-position model. The record is from RNAcentral.
GACGAACGCUGGCGGCGUGCUUAACACAUGCAAGUCAAGGACCGUAGCAAUACGGGACUGGCGCACGGGUGCGGAACACGUAGGCAAUCUGCCCUUCAGGGAGAACAACCAGCCCGGAAAGGUUGGCUAAAUCUCCGUAAAAUCAUCGAGUGGCAUCACUUAUUGAUCAAAGUUUUCUGAAGGAUGAGCCUGGCGUCUGAUUAGCUAGUUGGCGGGGUAACGGCCCACCAAGGCUACGAUCAGUAGCUGGUCUGAGAGGAUGAUCAGCCACAUUGGGACUGAGAUACGGCCCAGACUCCUACGGGA